CCUGCGUGGUUGCUCAAACACAGCCACCAUAUCUCCCAACUUGCUCCACAACAGUGGUUACUUACUAUUUAAAAGUAAUAGAUUAAUGCUGUGCUUAUUUUAAGAUUACUAUUUAUGAUAUUUUAAAAAAAUAACACGGGUAGUGUUUGAAUAAAUAAGAUAUUAAUUUAUUACGUCCACAUUUUUGUUGAUGUAUGAAUUCAUCCAAUUGUUUCAGUAAUUUUGAAUCCUACAAUAAAUAAAUAUAAAUUUCUAUACAGAUUCCAAUGCCAAAAACUUAUUUGAUUUGUAACAACAUUAAUAAAAAAGACAAGCAGCAACAAAAGGAAUUUAUUUUUAUCCUUUUCUUACUUUUGUAUUGUUGUACUUAGAUGGGUUCAGGAUGUAUCAGCCAUGUCAUCAUUCUGCAUUUGUAC
This 416-nucleotide long non-coding RNA is filed under the name Physcomitrium patens. RNAcentral describes it as "long non-coding RNA (PPAT_LNC002483)". The record is from RNAcentral. Lineage: Eukaryota; Viridiplantae; Streptophyta; Bryopsida; Funariales; Funariaceae.